This 2137-nucleotide long non-coding RNA is filed under the name Gallus gallus (chicken). Its description in RNAcentral is "lncRNA (ENSGALG00010000658.1)". The record is from RNAcentral. Lineage: Eukaryota; Metazoa; Chordata; Aves; Galliformes; Phasianidae.
CCCGAAUUAAAGCAGUUUUGGUACUACGAAAAGCCCUUUUAAACUUUGCCGCGGCGAGGGAAGGGUUAACGGCGCCCCUCGGCUCCGCCCGCGCCACUCUCAACCAAUCAGCGCUCUGCGCCCCGCCUCCCGCAGCCAAUCGGCGUCCUCUCUUCAAGCCGCGCCCUUUGCCCUAUCGGCUGUGUCAUUGCGGCGGUCCCCACUUCCCCGCCAUCGCCGCCUUAAGAGGAGGCCACGCCCCGCUUCCCCGCCCUCUGAACCAGCAGCCAAUCAGCGCAAAGCGCCCCGCUCCCUCAGCCAAUCGGCGCGCUAGCCCCGCCCACUAGCCGCUCAUCCAAUCAACGUUCAAUCUCUUCAAACGCCAGCAGUUUCUUGUCCGCCAGUUUGGGGGCGGGGCUUAAACAGGAAGUGCGGUAAGCCGUCAGUUUGUAGGCGGAGCUUACACAGGAAGUGCGAUUGUCCGAGUUUGGGGGCGUGGCUUAAACCGGAAGCAUAGCUGUCCAUCAGUUCUUGGGUCGUGGCUUAAACCGGAAGCACGCGUGUCCGCCAUCUUGGGGGCGUGGCUUGUCGCGCAGGGGCUGCUGGGAAUCGUAGUCCUUAAAGGGGCCACCGCCAUUUUGGGGGCGUUUUGGGGGCGAAAAACGGAGAAAUGCGGACAAAACGGGGCGGAGUUUUUACAGCGGGGGGGGCGGGGCGGCCAACAGCGCUUCCACGGACCUGAGGGCAAAGGGGGGCAGCGGCACUUAGGGGGCAGCCCCACACUUAGGGGGCGGACCCCCACUUAUGGGGCAGCCCCACACUUAUGGGGCAGACCCCCACUUAUGGGGCAGCCCCACACUUACGGGUUGGACCCACACUUAUGGGGCAGCCCCACACUUAUGGGGCAGCCCCACUUAUAGGCCAUACCCACACUUAUGGGGUCAGACCCCCACUUAUGGGUCAGACCCCCACUUAUGGGGCAGCCCCACACUUACAGGUCAGACCCCACUUAUGGGGCAGCCCCACUUAUAGGCCAUACCCACACUUAUGGGUCAGACCCCCGCUUAGGGGGCAGCCCCACACUUAUGGGGCAGCCCCACUUAUAGGCCAUACCCCCACUUAUUGGGCAGCCCCACUUAUGGGUCAGCCCCACACUUAUGGGUCGGACCCACACUUAUGGGUCGGACCCACACUUACGGGUCGGACCCCCACUUAUGGGCCGGACCCCCACUUAUGGGGCAGCCCCACACCUCAGCAUCCCCCGCAGUCUCCGCCGUCGAUCCCUCAGCGCCUGCAGCACCGCAUCCUCCACCGCCUCCGCCUCAUCCGAAUCUGUGGGGCACAGAGCAAAUGUGGGGCAGCACAUGUGGGGCUGCCCCAUAAGUGGGGGUCAGACCCAUAAGUGGGGGUAUGGCCUGUAAGUGGGGGGCUGCCCUAUAAGUGAAGGCUGCCCCAUAAGUGAAGGCUGCCCCAUAAGUGUGGGGCUGCCCCCUAAGUGUGGCUCUGCCCCACAAGUGGGGGCUGACCCCUAAGUGUGGCUCUGCCCCAUAAGUGGGGGCCGCCCCAUAAGCGUGGGUCUGACCCGUAAGUGAGGGUGACCCCUAAGUCUGGCUCUGCCCCAUAAGUGUGGGGCUGACCCAUAAGUGAAGGUAUGGCCUAUAAGUUUGGCUCUGCCCCAUAAGUGUGGGUCUGACCCAUAAGUGAGGGUGACCCCUAAGUGUGGCUCUGCCCCAUAAGUGAAGGGCUGACCCACAAGUGAAUGUACGGUCUAUAAGUGGGCUGACCCCUAAGUGUGGCUCUGCCCCAUAAGUGUGGGGCUGCCCCAUAAGUGCUCUCAGUUCUCACCCAUUGCUUCCUGCAGCAGUUCGAUGGCGGCCGCUUUCUGCCCCAUGGCGCUGCCCCACGGCGCUGGAGGGACGGUCUGCCCCAUAGAAACACACUGACCCACAGCUCCGCCCCAUAGAUCCUACAGUCCUGCCCCAUAGAUCCACAGCUCUGCCCCAUAGAUCCACAGCUCCACCCCACAGAUCUACAGUUCUGCCCCAUAGAUCUCUCUGCCCCAUGGUUCUGCCCCAUAGAUCCACAGCUCCGCCCCAUAGAUCCCACAGUUCUGCCCCAUAGAUCCCUCUGCCCCACAGCUCCGCCCCAUAGAUCCACA